RNAcentral lists this ribosomal RNA (313 nucleotides) under Pseudomonas aeruginosa. RNAcentral's name for it is "partial 23S ribosomal RNA". It matches the Rfam family "Bacterial large subunit ribosomal RNA", at positions 2618 to 2925 of the family's 2925-position model. Lineage: Bacteria; Pseudomonadati; Pseudomonadota; Gammaproteobacteria; Pseudomonadales; Pseudomonadaceae. The record is from RNAcentral.
GUCGUGAGACAGUUCGGUCCCUAUCUGCCGUGGGCGCUGGAGAAUUGAGGGGGGUUGCUCCUAGUACGAGAGAACCGGAGUGGACGCAUCACUGGUGUUCGGGUUGUCAUGCCAAUGGCACUGCCCGGUAGCUAAAUGCGGAAGAGAUAAGUGCUGAAAGCAUCUAAGCACGAAACUUGCCCCGAGAUGAGUUCUCCCUGAGACUUUAAGUCUCCUGAAGGAACGUUGAAGACGACGACGUUGAUAGGCCGGGUGUGUAAGCGCAGCGAUGCGUUGAGCUAACCGGUACUAAUGAACCGUGAGGCUUAACCUU